GCCGAUGUAACUCAGUUGGUAGAGUAACUCCAUGGUAAGGAGUAAGUCCGCGGUUCAAAUCCGCGCAUCGGCU
RNAcentral lists this transfer RNA (73 nucleotides) under bacterium. Its description in RNAcentral is "tRNA-Thr". It matches the Rfam family "tRNA". From Rfam's summary of the family: Transfer RNA (tRNA) molecules are approximately 80 nucleotides in length. Their secondary structure includes four short double-helical elements and three loops (D, anti-codon, and T loops). The record is from RNAcentral. RNAcentral also lists the same sequence under 1 other name.